AUAGGUCCACCUUGCAAGGUUAUAAGUUGAAUCAAUUUGCCGCCGCUCUCGGUUAAGAGAACCUUGAUCACUACGUCACAUCGUAGUAAUAAGUGGAAUGAAAGGAAAUGUGAAAUGAUAUUGAUAUUGUUAUCUAAUCAAUUGUUUUUCCACACUGAAAAGUUUGAAAAUGUUGCUCACUUAGAAUGGUUAGCUCAACCUUAAAUUGAAUGCUAAAAUGCUAAAACUUGAAAGUAAA
This 238-nucleotide long non-coding RNA is filed under the name Setaria italica (foxtail millet). Its description in RNAcentral is "long non-coding RNA (SITA_LNC001726)". Lineage: Eukaryota; Viridiplantae; Streptophyta; Magnoliopsida; Poales; Poaceae. The record is from RNAcentral.